Molecule: long non-coding RNA, 217 nt
Organism: Vidua macroura (Pin-tailed whydah)
Lineage: Eukaryota; Metazoa; Chordata; Aves; Passeriformes; Viduidae
Exons: 3
Source: RefSeq, a predicted model, not a curated record
GGGGGAAUAAGGGGGGGGCAGCGCCGCGCCGCCCCCUGCCGGGACUUGAUGAUUGGCACCCCUGCGAUGGGCUUGCAAUGGGUUAAUUAAUCUAAUUCUCAAAGCUCAUUAAGGAGCCGCAGCUCAGGACGGUGCAACCUUCAGAAGCCACAGCUCAGAAAACAGGAUCUAAGCUCAGCUGGGAAGGAGGAAUGACAUAAAAGUGCCCUGGUUUGAG